This 433-nucleotide ribosomal RNA is filed under the name uncultured bacterium. RNAcentral describes it as "partial 16S ribosomal RNA". It matches the Rfam family "Bacterial small subunit ribosomal RNA", at positions 29 to 507 of the family's 1533-position model. The record is from RNAcentral.
AACGAACGCUGGCGGCAGGCCUAACACAUGCAAGUCGAGCGAGGACUUCGGUCCUAGCGGCGGACGGGUGAGUAACGCGUGGGAACGUGCCCUUUGCUUCGGAAUAGCCCUGGGAAACUGGGAGUAAUACCGGAUGAGCCCUUUGGGGGAAAGAUUUAUCGGCGAAGGAUCGGCCCGCGUUGGAUUAGGUAGUUGGUGGGGUAAUGGCCUACCAAGCCGACGAUCCAUAGCUGGUUUGAGAGGAUGAUCAGCCACACUGGGACUGAGUCACGGCCCAGACUCCUACGGGAGGCAGCAGUGGGGAAUCUUAGACAAUGGGGGAAACCCUGAUCGAGCCAUGCCGCGUGAGCGAUGAAGGCCUUAGGGUUGUAAAGCUCUUUCAGCUGGGAAGAUAAUGACGGUACCAGCAGAAGAAGCCCCGGCUAACUCCGUG